This 878-nucleotide ribosomal RNA is filed under the name uncultured spirochete. Its description in RNAcentral is "bacterial SSU rRNA". It matches the Rfam family "Bacterial small subunit ribosomal RNA", at positions 28 to 895 of the family's 1533-position model. Lineage: Bacteria; Pseudomonadati; Spirochaetota; Spirochaetia; Spirochaetales. The record is from RNAcentral.
AACGAACGCUGGCGGCACGUUUUAAGCAUGCAAGUCGAACGGUAGUCCCACUUUCGGGUGGGAUGAGAGUGGCGGACGGGUGAGUAACACGUAGGUGAUCUAUCUUAUAGUUGGGGGAUAGCCCAUGGAAACAUGGGGUAAUACCGCAGAGGCUGUAGUUAUAGAGAUUACAGUGAAAGGCGCGUUAUGUGCCGACUGAGGAUGAGCCUGCGGUCCAUUAGCUUGUUGGUAGGGUAAGAGCCUACCAAGGCGACGAUGGAUAGCCGACCUGAGAGGGUGGACGGCCACACUGGGACUGAGACACGGCCCAGACUCCUACGGGAGGCAGCAGCUAAGAAUCUUCCGCAAUGGGCGAAAGCCUGACGGAGCGAUGCCGCGUGAACGAUGAAGGCAGGAAUGUUGUAAAGUUCUUUUCUUGGUGAGGAAUAAGGUUAAGAGUGGACUGCUUGACUGAUGACGUUAGCCAAGGAAUAAGCCCCGGCCAAUUACGUGCCAGCAGCCGCGGUAACACGUAAGGGGCAAGCGUUGUUCGGAAUUAUUGGGCGUAAAGGGCGUGUAGGCGGAUAUAUAAGCCUGGUGUAAAAGGCUUCGGCUCAACCGGAGUUGGGCGCUGGGAACUGUAUGUCUAGAGUACAGGAGGGGGAGUUGGAAUUCCUGGUGUAGGGGUGGAAUCUGUAGAUAUCAGGAAGAACACCGGUGGCGAAGGCGAACUCCUGGCCUGGUUACUGACGCUGAGGCGCGAAAGCGUGGGGAGCGAACAGGAUUAGAUACCCUGGUAGUCCACGCUGUAAACGAUGUGCACUGGGUGUGGUUCUAUGAAGGAUCAGUGCCGUAGCUAACGCGAUAAGUGCACCGCCUGGGGAGAUGCUCGCAAGGGU